RNAcentral lists this ribosomal RNA (383 nucleotides) under uncultured eukaryote. Its description in RNAcentral is "partial 18S ribosomal RNA". It matches the Rfam family "Eukaryotic small subunit ribosomal RNA", at positions 592 to 976 of the family's 1831-position model. The record is from RNAcentral.
CAAUGGCGUAUAUUAAAGUUGUUGCAGUUAAAAAGCUCGUAGUUGGAUUUCUGGUGGGAGCGAUCGGUCUGGCGCUUAGCGCGAGUACUUGCAUCGUCUCCGGCCAUCCUUGGGGAGAGUCUGUCUGGCAUUAAGUUGUCGGGCAGAGGAUCCUCAUCGUUUACUGUGAAAAAAUUAGAGUGUUCAAAGCAGGCUUAUGCCGUUGAAUAUAUUAGCAUGGAAUAAUAAGAUAGGACUUUGGUACUAUUUUGUUGGUUUGCGCACCAAAGUAAUGAUUAAUAGGGACAGUUGGGGGUAUUCGUAUUCCGUUGUCAGAGGUGAAAUUCUUGGAUUUACGGAAGACGAACUACUGCGAAAGCAUUUACCAAGGAUGUUUUCAUUAG